GGUUCUGGCUCAGUGGUAGAGCACUUGCCUGGCAUGUGCAGGACCCUGGGUUUGAUCCUCAACACCA
RNAcentral lists this transfer RNA (67 nucleotides) under Marmota monax (woodchuck). RNAcentral's name for it is "tRNA.Ala". Lineage: Eukaryota; Metazoa; Chordata; Mammalia; Rodentia; Sciuridae. The record is from RNAcentral.